RNAcentral lists this ribosomal RNA (253 nucleotides) under uncultured bacterium. RNAcentral describes it as "partial 16S ribosomal RNA". It matches the Rfam family "Bacterial small subunit ribosomal RNA", at positions 524 to 776 of the family's 1533-position model. RNAcentral also lists the same sequence under 1 other name. The record is from RNAcentral.
UACGUAGGUGGCAAGCGUUGUCCGGAUUUAUUGGGUUUAAAGGGUGCGUAGGCGGCCCUGUAAGUCAGUGCUGAAAUACCCCGGCUUAACCGGGGGGGUGGCAUUGAUACUGCAGGGCUUGAGUACAGAUGAGGUAGGCGGAAUUGACGGUGUAGCGGUGAAAUGCAUAGAUAUCGUCAAGAACACCGAUAGCGAAGGCAGCUUACUGGGCUGUAACUGACGCUGAUGCACGAAAGUGUGGGGAUCAAACAGG